GUGCUAGGUUUCACAUAGGAGCCUUCUCACGCAGUGUACUAGGAACCAAGCCACACUCGAGUUCUCAGGUGUUUAAUGGCUUACAGGAAAAUAUCAAAAAGGGCUGUUGGUUCCCAUGAGGCUCACAAUCACAAAAACCAAGUCACGCAUGGGAUUUGACAUGGUCAUACAAUUGGAUGUGGGUCCGAGUGGGGCCGGUCAUAUAAGAGUGGACA
Molecule: long non-coding RNA, 215 nt
Filed under: Elaeis guineensis (African oil palm)
Lineage: Eukaryota; Viridiplantae; Streptophyta; Magnoliopsida; Arecales; Arecaceae
Description: long non-coding RNA (EGUI_LNC034098)
Source: RNAcentral